RNAcentral lists this ribosomal RNA (236 nucleotides) under Staphylococcus aureus. Its description in RNAcentral is "partial 16S ribosomal RNA". It matches the Rfam family "Bacterial small subunit ribosomal RNA", at positions 1 to 225 of the family's 1533-position model. The record is from RNAcentral. Lineage: Bacteria; Bacillati; Bacillota; Bacilli; Caryophanales; Staphylococcaceae.
UUUUAUGGAGAGUUUGAUCCUGGCUCAGGAUGAACGCUGGCGGCGUGCCUAAUACAUGCAAGUCGAGCGAACGGACGAGAAGCUUGCUUCUCUGAUGUUAGCGGCGGACGGGUGAGUAACACGUGGAUAACCUACCUAUAAGACUGGGAUAACUUCGGGAAACCGGAGCUAAUACCGGAUAAUAUUUUGAACCGCAUGGUUCAAAAGUGAAAGACGGUCUUGCUGUCACUUAUAGA